RNAcentral lists this ribosomal RNA (253 nucleotides) under uncultured bacterium. RNAcentral's name for it is "partial 16S ribosomal RNA". It matches the Rfam family "Bacterial small subunit ribosomal RNA", at positions 524 to 776 of the family's 1533-position model. The record is from RNAcentral.
UACGAAGGGGGCUAGCGUUGUUCGGAUUUACUGGGCGUAAAGCGCACGUAGGCGGAUCGUUAAGUCGGGGGUGAAAUCCUGGAGCUCAACUCCGGAACUGCCUUUGAUACUGCGGGUCUUGAGUCCGAUAGAGGUGGGUGGAAUUCCUAGUGUAGAGGUGAAAUUCGUAGAUAUUAGGAAGAACACCGGUGGCGAAGGCGGCCCACUGGAUCGGUACUGACGCUGAGGUGCGAAAGCGUGGGGAGCAAACAGG